UUGAGGACAGGAGCCCAGGCGUGGGGACAUGGUGGGAAUCGCUGUGUGCACUUGCAGCCCGGUGGCAUGGCUCUGUAAGGCGGGUGGGGAGUGGCCACAGGAAGAACCCAACCCCGAUGUGGAGAAUCCAGGAUGGCUUCUGCCACUUUUGAGCCAUGCAACUGUUGGUGAGCCCCUUCGUGCCCUUGAACCUCAGUCUCCACCUGUGAGUAAUGGGAGUGAUGACAGCAUCUGGUCACCUCCCCACAGCGGGGAGAAGAGACCCAGGCCCAGGUGAAGUGGGGGAACAGCAGGAUUGAGGAGAAGCCAGCCUGAGGCCACAAGCAAUGAAAUGCCGUAGCCAGAAGCCAAGAGCUCAGAGGUCAAAGCCAUCCAGCACUGGGUUUGCUUGCAGCAGCUGAGAUGGAGGAAAGGAGCCCCGGGAGCUCUGGCCUUGCAGGGAGGACUGGGUUCCUGAGGGGAGGGUGAGCUAUGGUGUCUGCUAAGCGGAGGAGUGUCUACCUCCCACUCAGCUUCCCCAUGGAUGUGCAGGACACUGUCUUCAUUUGAGAGUCAAAAUACAUUGGCAUAGGAGCCUUGCCCAUUA
Molecule: long non-coding RNA, 586 nt
Organism: Pan troglodytes (chimpanzee)
Lineage: Eukaryota; Metazoa; Chordata; Mammalia; Primates; Hominidae
Exons: 2
Source: RefSeq, a predicted model, not a curated record